Molecule: ribosomal RNA, 459 nt
Filed under: uncultured bacterium
Lineage: Bacteria
Description: partial 16S ribosomal RNA
Rfam family: Bacterial small subunit ribosomal RNA
Source: RNAcentral
CCUACGGGAGGCAGCAGUGAGGAAUAUUGGUCAAUGGCCGAGAGGCUGAACCAGCCAAGUCGCGUGAGGGAAGACGGCCCUACGGGUUGUAAACCUCUUUUGUCGGGGAGCAAAGCGAACCACGUGUGGUUCAUUGAGAGUACCCGAAGAAAAAGCAUCGGCUAACUCCGUGCCAGCAGCCGCGGUAAUACGGAGGAUGCGAGCGUUAUCCGGAUUUAUUGGGUUUAAAGGGUGCGCAGGCGGGGGUGCAAGUCAGCGGUCAAAUUGCGGGGCUCAACCCCGUACUGCCGUUGAAACUGCAUCCCUUGAGUGCGCGAGAAGUAUGCGGAAUGCGUGGUGUAGCGGUGAAAUGCAUAGAUAUCACGCAGAACUCCGAUUGCGAAGGCAGCAUACCGGCGCGCAACUGACGCUCAAGCACGAAAGCGUGGGGAUCAAACAGGAUUAGAUACCCGAGUAGUC